RNAcentral lists this ribosomal RNA (437 nucleotides) under Humboldtiana balanites. RNAcentral's name for it is "partial 16S ribosomal RNA". Lineage: Eukaryota; Metazoa; Mollusca; Gastropoda; Stylommatophora; Humboldtianidae. The record is from RNAcentral.
AGCUUAAUGAGAGAUAUUAAGUAUUUUCUGCCCAAUGGGACAUUUAAAUGGCCGCAGUACCUUGACUGUGCAAAGGUAGCAUAAUCAAUUGGCCUUUAAUUGGGGUCUGGAAUGAAAGAAUAUAUGAAGAGAUACUGUCUAUUAUUAAUAUAUUUAAAUUGCUGAAGAAGUGAAAAUACUUCUAUAACAAUAAAAGACGAGAAGACCCUAGAAAUUUUAUAUAAAGUGUAUUAUAUUUUUACUAUUAUUUUGUUGGGGCAACAGAAUAACAAUUUAACCUAUUUUAGUUUUACACGAAUUUUUUAUAAGGGUAGACAAAAUUACUCUAGGGAUAACAGCAUAAUUAUUUAAUAGUUUGUGACCUCGAUGUUGGACUAAGGAAGGCUUUAUUCAGAAGAUUAAACCACAUGUUCUGUUCGAACAAGUAUCCUUACAUG